CAGUCGCCACGGUAAAACGGAGGGGGCUAGCGUUGUUCGGAAUUACUGGGCGUAAAGCGCACGUAGGCGACUUUGUAAGUUAGAGGUGAAAGCCCGGAGCUCAACUCCGGAAUUGCCUUUAAGACUGCAGAGCUAGCAGGUGAGAGAGGUGAGUGGAAUUCCGAGUGUAGAGGUGAAAUUCGUAGAUAUUCGGAAGAACACCAGUGGCGAAGGCGGCUCACUGGCUCAUACUGGACGCUGAGGUGCGAAAGCGUGGGGAGCAAACAGGAUUAGAUACCCGCGUAGUCCCUGUCUCUUAUAC
Molecule: ribosomal RNA, 301 nt
Filed under: uncultured bacterium
Lineage: Bacteria
Description: partial 16S ribosomal RNA
Rfam family: Bacterial small subunit ribosomal RNA
Source: RNAcentral